Molecule: transfer RNA, 73 nt
Filed under: Dictyostelium discoideum
Lineage: Eukaryota; Evosea; Eumycetozoa; Dictyosteliales; Dictyosteliaceae
Rfam family: tRNA
About the family: Transfer RNA (tRNA) molecules are approximately 80 nucleotides in length.
Source: Rfam by way of RNAcentral
GGGGAAGUAGCUCAGAUGGUAGAGCGCUCGCUUAGCAUGCGAGAGGUAAAGGGUUCGAUACCCUUCUUCCUCA